This 460-nucleotide ribosomal RNA is filed under the name uncultured bacterium. RNAcentral describes it as "partial 16S ribosomal RNA". It matches the Rfam family "Bacterial small subunit ribosomal RNA", at positions 338 to 795 of the family's 1533-position model. The record is from RNAcentral.
CCUACGUGAGGCUGCAGUGAGGAAUAUUGGUCAAUGGACGAGAGUCUGAACCAGCCAAGUAGCGUGAAGGAUGACUGCCCUAUGGGUUGUAAACUUCUUUUAUCUGGGAGUAAAAUGUUCCACGUGUGGGAUAUUGUUUGUACCAUAAGAAUAAGCCUCCGCUAACUCCGUGCCAGCAGCCGCGGUAAUACGGAGGAGUCGAGCGUUAUCCGGAUUUAUUGGGUUUAAAGGGAGCGUAGGGGGAUUGUUAAGGCAGGUGUGAAAGUUUGGGGCUCAACCGUAGAAUUGCAGUUGAAACUGGUAGUCUUGAGUGCAGUAGAGGUAGGCGGAAUUCGUGGUGUAGCGGUGAAAUGCUUAGAUAUCACGAAGAACUCCGAUUGCGAAGGCAGCUCACUGGACUGCAACUGACACUGAGGCACGAAAGUGUGGGUAUCAAACAGGAUUAGAUACCCCAGUAGUC